GCCAGACUCCUACGGGAGGCAGCAGUGGGGGAUAUUGCACAAUGGGGGGAACCCUGAUGCAGCGACGCCGCGUGAACGAAGAAAUAUUUCGGUAUGUAAAGCUCUACCAGCAGGGAAGAAAAUGACGGUACCUGACUAAGAAGCCCCGGCUAACUACGUGCCAGCAGCCGCGGUAAUACGUAGGGGGCAAGCGUCAUCCGGAUUUACUGGGUGUAAAGGGAGCGUAGACGGCAUGGCAAGUCAGAUGUGAAAGCCCGGGGCUCAACCCCGGGACUGCAUUUGAAACUGUCAGGCUGGAGUGCAGGAGAGGUAAGUGGAAUUCCUAGUGUAGCGGUGAAAUGCGUAGAUAUUAGGAGGAACACCAGCGGCGAAGGCGGCUUACUGGACUGUAACUGACGUUGAGGCUCGAAAGCGUGGGGAGCAAACAGGAUUAGAUACCCCAGUAU
This 446-nucleotide ribosomal RNA is filed under the name uncultured bacterium. RNAcentral's name for it is "bacterial SSU rRNA". It matches the Rfam family "Bacterial small subunit ribosomal RNA", at positions 330 to 793 of the family's 1533-position model. The record is from RNAcentral.